This 252-nucleotide ribosomal RNA is filed under the name uncultured bacterium. RNAcentral's name for it is "partial 16S ribosomal RNA". It matches the Rfam family "Bacterial small subunit ribosomal RNA", at positions 524 to 776 of the family's 1533-position model. The record is from RNAcentral.
UACGGAGGAUGCGAGCGUUAUCCGGAUUUAUUGGGUUUAAAGGGUGCGUAGGCGGGAUGCCAAGUCAGCGGUAAAAAUGCGGUGCUCAACGCCGUCGAGCCGUUGAAACUGGCGUUCUUGAGUGGGCGAGAAGUAUGCGGAAUGCGUGGUGUAGCGGUGAAAUGCAUAGAUAUCACGCAGAACUCCGAUUGCGAGGGCGGCAUACCGGCGCCCUACUGACGCUGAGGCACGAAAGCGUGGGUAUCGAACAGG